GACGAACGCUGGCGGCGUGCCUAAUACAUGCAAGUUGAGCGAUGAAGAUUGGUGCUUGCACCAAUUUGAAGAGCAGCGAACGGGUGAGUAACGCGUGGGGAAUCUGCCUUUGAGCGGGGGACAACAUUUGGAAACGAAUGCUAAUACCGCAUAAUAACUUUAAACAUAAGUUUUAAGUUUGAAAGAUGCAAUUGCAUCACUCAAAGAUGAUCCCGCGUUGUAUUAGCUAGUUGGUGAGGUAAAGGCUCACCAAGGCGAUGAUACAUAGCCGACCUGAGAGGGUGAUCGGCCACAUUGGGACUGAGACACGGCCCAAACUCCUACGGGAGGCAGCAGUAGGGAAUCUUCGGCAAUGGACGAAAGUCUGACCGAGCAACGCCGCGUGAGUGAAGAAGGUCUUCGGAUCGUAAAACUCGGUUGGUAGAGAAGAACGUUGGUGAGAGUGGAAAGCUCAUCAAGUGACGGUAACUACCCAGAAAGGGACGGCUAACUACGUG
RNAcentral lists this ribosomal RNA (497 nucleotides) under uncultured bacterium. RNAcentral describes it as "partial 16S ribosomal RNA". It matches the Rfam family "Bacterial small subunit ribosomal RNA", at positions 28 to 507 of the family's 1533-position model. The record is from RNAcentral.